UACGUAGGGCGCAAGCGUUGUCCGGAAUCAUUGGGCGUAAAGAGCUCGUAGGUGGUCUGUUACGUCUGCUGUGAAAUCCUAGGGCUUAACCCUGGGCCUGCAGUGGAUACGGGCAGACUAGAGGUAGGUAGGGGAGAAUGGAAUUCCCGGUGUAGCGGUGAAAUGCGCAGAUAUCGGAGGAGACGUGCGAGUCGGUCGAGCGGCCCUUGACCUGACUA
Molecule: ribosomal RNA, 218 nt
Filed under: uncultured bacterium
Lineage: Bacteria
Description: partial 16S ribosomal RNA
Rfam family: Bacterial small subunit ribosomal RNA
Source: RNAcentral